AGUCGAGCGGUAGAGAGAAGCUUGCUUCUCUUGAGAGCGGCGGGCGGGUGAGUAAUGCCUAGGAAUCUGCCUGGUAGUGGGGGAUAACGUUCGGAAACGGACGCUAAUACCGCAUACGUCCUACGGGAGAAAGCAGGGGACCUUCGGGCCUUGCGCUAUCAGAUGAGCCUAGGUCGGAUUAGCUAGUUGGUGAGGUAAUGGCUCACCAAGGCGACGAUCCGUAACUGGUCUGAGAGGAUGAUCAGUCACACUGGAACUGAGACACGGUCCAGACUCCUACGGGAGGCAGCAGUGGGGAAUAUUGGACAAUGGGCGAAAGCCUGAUCCAGCCAUGCCGCGUGUGUGAAGAAGGUCUUCGGAUUGUAAAGCACUUUAAGUUGGGAGGAAGGGCAGUUGCCUAAUACGUAACUGUUUUGACGUUACCGACAGAAUAAGCACCGGCUAACUCUGUGCCAGCAGCCGCGGUAAUACAGAGGGUGCAAGCGUUAAUCGGAAUUACUGGGCGUAAAGCGCGCGUAGGUGGUUUGUUAAGUUGGAUGUGAAAUCCCCGGGCUCAACCUGGGAACUGCAUUCAAAACUGACUGACUAGAGUAUGGUAGAGGGUGGUGGAAUUUCCUGUGUAGCGGUGAAAUGCGUAGAUAUAGGAAGGAACACCAGUGGCGAAGGCGACCACCUGGACUAAUACUGACACUGAGGUGCGAAAGCGUGGGGAGCAAACAGGAUUAGAUACCCUGGUAGUCCACGCCGUAAACGAUGUCAACUAGCCGUUGGAAGCCUUGAGCUUUUAGUGGCGCAGCUAACG
Molecule: ribosomal RNA, 802 nt
Filed under: uncultured bacterium
Lineage: Bacteria
Description: bacterial SSU rRNA
Rfam family: Bacterial small subunit ribosomal RNA
Source: RNAcentral